UACGGGGGGAGCAAGCGUUGUUCGGAUUUACUGGGCGUAAAGGGCGCGUAGGCGGCCUUCUAAGUCGGACGUGAAAGCCCCAGGCUUAACCUGGGAACUGCGUCCGAUACUGGGAGGCUUGGAUUCGGGAGAGGGAUGUGGAAUUCCAGGUGUAGCGGUGAAAUGCGUAGAUAUCUGGAGGAACACCGGUGGCGAAGGCGGCAUCCUGGACCGAGAUCGACGCUGAGGCGCGAAAGCUAGGGGAGCAAACGGG
This 253-nucleotide ribosomal RNA is filed under the name uncultured bacterium. RNAcentral describes it as "partial 16S ribosomal RNA". It matches the Rfam family "Bacterial small subunit ribosomal RNA", at positions 524 to 776 of the family's 1533-position model. The record is from RNAcentral.